Long non-coding RNA from Strigops habroptila (Kakapo), 3754 nucleotides. RefSeq lists it as uncharacterized. The transcript has 2 exons. Lineage: Eukaryota; Metazoa; Chordata; Aves; Psittaciformes; Psittacidae. The record is from RefSeq and is a predicted model, not a curated record.
UAAUAUAGAGAAGUAAAAAUAUGGUCAAACUGUACAUUGGUUUUAUUUAUUCAUUGUUGAGAUCCUUGGUUGGAACCUGUCUCUGAGUGUCUGUAUUAUAGAAUGCUUUUGUAGGAGCUAGGUCAUUAAAAUCGUUAAGGGGCUGGAGCAUCCGAUGUACAGGGAGAGGCAGGGAGAGCUGGGACUGCUCAGUCCAGCUGGAGAAGAGAAAGCUCAGGGGGAUUUAUCCGUGUGUAUAGACAUGGGAUGAGGGAAAUAAAAAUGGCAGGGACAGGUUCUUCUCAGUAGUGUUGAGCGAAAGGAGAAGAGGUGAUGGCACAAACAUGGGAAAUUCAGUUUAAAUGUAAGGAGAAAAGACUGCAUUUGUUCAAACAGUGGAACAAGUUUCCCAGAGAGAUUGUGAAGUCUCUGUCUUUGGAAAUACUAAGAACCCAACUGGACAGAGCCUUGAGCAACCUGCUGUAGGUGACCCUGUUCUGAGCAGGAGGGUUGGACUAGACAGUCUGCAGAGGCGCCUUCCAACUUCAAUGAUUCUAUGAUUUUUAAGCCAGUUUUUCCAACAAAUGUAAAGUGCCUAGAUUGUAACGAACAGAAGGAUAUCCUGUAAGGUCUUUGAUUCAAAGGACAUCUUAAUCAGUCUGUCAUUCGCAUAGGGAGUGGAAGUCCCGAAUACAGGGCACGUUACCCUCAAAGAUUCAGCAUAUCCAGUUGUUUUUUCAUUGCAGGGGAAGACCUCAAAAAAGCUGUGAUAGCAUUAAAAGGCAGAUGGCUGGAUAGUUUGUGAAGAUGUGAAUCUCUUGUUUCUUGACUGGCUGGCCAUUCCCCUGUCUAUAUAUAACCAUUUCACCUUUACCCCUUGUUCUUUACUACUCAGGAGCCAGAUACCAGCAGCUUGGGAAUCAUUGGAGAGACAUUUUUGUCCUCAUGUAGCCAUCACCUAUAUGUUGUCCCCAGCCACUGUGGUUUCCAGUAGGCCACAAACAGCCUGGUAUGGUCAGGAACAGGGUAACUCCCAUCAGUGGAGCUGCCAGAAGGGAACCCAUGUUUACAACUGAUGUUCACAGCCUUUUCUGCUCUCGCAGCUAAUGGAGGAGUCCAAAGGCCAGAAUGCAUUUGAAAACUGCAGAUACAAUAGGUAUGCUUGCACCAUUUUGUAGCAGUAUAGCAUAACUUAUUUGCACAGAUGUUUUUGUAGUUUGCAUUUUUUGGAGUGGAGUAGGCACAUAGUAAAAGUACCUUGUAAACGAUAGUGAUUGGGUUGGGUCAGAGACAGAAUGUACUUGUAUAUACAAGUUCAUAGCUCAGUUGUUAGUGACUUAUCUGUUCCCACAGUCCUGGGAACAGAGCCCCUAUCUUCUGAUUCUGAUUUUACCUGUGAUCCAAUGUUUCUCUGUAUUCUUCCCUAGAGCUUGUUUUACUGUCACCCAGCAGUAGGUACCAUGCUGUAGCUGACUUGCCCUCACAAAAGCAAAUGAAGCUGGUGGCUUUUGCCAGAUGUCCUCUUCAAAUUAUACACGUACUUAGCAUGAAGUUAGUUCUGAAGCUACGUGCUGGUAAUUUCUUACUUGGACACUUAAUUAUCACAUUGGCUAUUACAAUGUUAUGACCAGGUUCCAUGUAGGUAAUCUUAUAAACAGUUUGUCCUUCAAGUCAUCAAAAAUUGGCAUGGCUGUAAUUCAGUAGUGCUGGUAAUGUUUGAUCCAUCUCUCUGAUAAUUUACGUGUGAAUAAAUGGUAAAAAUUAGUAAAGACCCAUUUUCAGUCACAGUUCCUUCCUGUUUGUCUUGUGUCUUGUUUAUAUCCCUUUCCAGGUAUUGGCAGCAUGCUUAGCAAACACCAGUAACCCUGCCAGAUUUCUCAGGCUUUUGGUCCUCUAUUGCUAACAGCCCUGGGUUAUGAUAUGCUGAGUUAAGGGUCAUCAACUUUGCGUUGACUGGUUUGAAGGCAUUCAGGAACGGGUCUUUUUAUCACUACCACAAGAGAAUAUUGCCACCAACUUGCUGUCACCAGCCCUUCAUUAUGCCCCAGCAACCACUUGGUCGUUCUCCAAAAGUGUCCCAGGGUAGAUGGUCUCAAGGGUUUCCAUGCAGGACCUGGAAACACUGCGUGAAGAAUGGGCUGCGACUUAGCCCCUGGGACAGGCACAUUUCAGCCCAUACCAACACAUGCAAUGCAAAACCACCAACUCGCUUCAACCCAUGAGGCUCGGGGACUAAAGUGCCAUAUGCACUCAGGGAUACUGAGCCACCCCAUGGUAUAGCUUGAUAAUCACCUCUAAGAUCAGAAAUGCUCUUCUGUUUUAUUCAGCAGCAUGGUUGUAUUACCAGUCUCCAAAUCUAGGACAGAUUUUGACAGCCAAAGUUGUGAUGCUCACUGAACUGCCCAUGCACACAGGCAGCCAAAAUGCUUGGCUCAAGAGCAAAGGAAGGUGAGCGAAGCUGUAAGAAAUACUUUCUUUUUGAUGAGAAAACUAGUUGCAAUGAUGAAGUAAUGAAACAAAGAUUGACCUGUAUUAGUACACGUAAUUCCUUUUCAGAAAUUGCCAUUAAAAUGCUUAUCAGGUAAACCAAAAGUCUUUCAAAGAACAUUUUCAUAGCAUUAUAAAACAUAAUUUUCCAAAGUCCCAAUGUAGAUGUUGGUGAGAUCUGUGUAAUGCUGAAAUAUAAGGUAUCAGAGGAAAAUCUAUGAAAGAAGCGUGGCGAUGUGUCCAUUUGGAGGAAGUUCAUCAUGAUAAGGUUAGGAUAUUGAAUAGCAAAGGAGUGGGAAAUACACAGCUGAACAGUGAAACGUGAUCUGAGAAUAUCUUGUCAGUGUUGCUUGGGGACUGAACAAUGAAUUCAGAUUUAGACCUUCCAAUGCUUCCCACUUAUAAAGAAAGAGUAAUUUAAAAAUGUGUUCAGAUAUAUCAGGCUGACAACCAACUGACAUGGUUUUUAUGCAAAUAUCAUCAUUCAUCUUUGAGAACUGUGUCCAAUGUAAGAAACCCCUGGCUGUUUGGACCCAAAGGAGGAAAGCAAAGGUCUUGUGUUUGGUCUGCCUGUGCUGUGCUGUGCAAGAUAGUUGGAAAGAAAGAUCACAAGAGGGUCCAGAUAUUUACAGUCUUUCUUAUGGUAGUGUUCUAUGAAGUCGAGAGGUUUGUACUGACCCAGUAGGUUUAAAUGGGUGAAAAUGUAAGGCAAAUAUGAAAUCUCUACAGCUGUGACCUCUCUCUGAUAACCUCUCUAUUUAGAAGUAUUAGCAACGUGCAGUGUAGUGUCACUCAUUUGGAAGCUGACAUUUCACAUUACACAGGUUUUAGUUGCUCACAAAACUUUGCCAGCUUUCCCAAGUCUGAAAUUUUCUGUAAGGGGUGUUGGCCUCAAACUGAUGUUUUUGGGAAGAUUCCAGACAGUUUUGUCAGCUGCCUGAGAUCAAAAUGCAGAUUAUUUGCCCUUGUUAAAAUAGCCCCCCCCAAACUUUGAUAUUUUUUUUUUUUUUUUUUUUUCCAAAUUGAAAAGAAAAAAAUGAAAAAAGAUCUUAUAUUUAAACAUCAGUGUGGUCCUUGUGUUGAGCAGGGCUUCCUGGCAUUCUAUGGAGAAUGGAGAACUGACAAGUUAUAUGGCUGCAUUAAAAUCUUUUAAACACCUUGGUUUGCAAAUACUCACUAGAGUUCUUAGUUGUUAAAAAUAGGGUUUCACAGGCCAUUUUCUUUCUAGUGCUUCCUUAUUAACUGCAAGCUUAAAGGAAUUUUUAAUGGGAUAUGGAGGUUAAUUAUU